This 459-nucleotide ribosomal RNA is filed under the name Melipona compressipes. RNAcentral's name for it is "partial ribosomal RNA large subunit". Lineage: Eukaryota; Metazoa; Arthropoda; Insecta; Hymenoptera; Apidae. The record is from RNAcentral.
GUCGAUCUGCCCAAUGAUAUUUAUUUAAUGGCUGCAGUAUAACUGACUGUACAAAGGUAGCAUAAUCAAUUGGUUUUUAAAUGGAAUCUGGAAUGAAAGUAUUAAUGAAAUAUAUACUGUCUCAUAUAUAUUUUAUGAAUUUAAAAUUUUAAUAAAAAUGUUAAAAUUUUUUUAUGGGACGAUAAGACCCUAUAGAAUUUUAUAUAAAAUUUUAUUUGUAAUUAAUAUAAAUUAAAAUUUUAUAUUUAAUUGGGAGAAUUAUUAAAUUUAAUAAAUUUUAAUUUUUAUAAACUUUGAUUUAAGAAAAUUGAAUUGAUCUUUAAUUUAAAAUUAAUAGAAUAAAUUACCUUAGGGAUAACAGCGUUAUAUUUUUUUAUAGAUCUUAUAGAAAAAAAUGAUUGCGACCUCGAUGUUGAAUUAAGAUAAAUUUUAAAUGCAGAAGUUUAAUGAUUAAGUCUG